Non-coding RNA from Paramuricea clavata, 93 nucleotides. The record is from the annotation of a GenBank genome assembly. NCBI's taxonomy places the organism in Eukaryota, Metazoa, Cnidaria, Anthozoa, Malacalcyonacea, Plexauridae.
GCUCUCGAGGCCCAGUUGGUUAGAGCGUCGAUGUACUUAUAAGCAGUACUGGACUAAAUGCAAAGGUCGAGUUUUCGAUCCCCUCCGGAAGCA